Non-coding RNA from Cyanistes caeruleus (blue tit), 2220 nucleotides. The record is from RefSeq and is a predicted model, not a curated record. NCBI's taxonomy places the organism in Eukaryota, Metazoa, Chordata, Aves, Passeriformes, Paridae.
AAGUCUGGGUACUAGUAAUCGAUCUAAGUAUCUCAGCUCUGAGCCUGUGAGGGAACUCUACAUCUCAGUUUUAAGAUCAGGACCUAAUUAUUAUUCAGUCCUAUCACUAUUUAACAGAGAAACUAAUAGCUGACAGGACAUGUUAGCUAAGCUUGCUAAUUCUGAUCUUCCUACUCCAUCCAUAAUUGAUAAUAAAUUUCUAUAUUCUCAAAUAAAUUGUAAUAUUCUUUGGUUCCAAUGUGUUCCCAUUUUCCCAUUUUCUAAUUAGGCUGAGCAAGGAAUUGCUGUUAAACUUCUUGCUAAACAUUUUUCAGCAGGAUUUUUCAUAAGAGCUUUUCCCAUAUGUGAUUAUAUUGUUUGCACGGCAGUGGAAUUCUGUCAGCAACCUCCUACCUGAGCCUUGAAUGUACCAAACACUUUUGGAAGAAAUCAUGCUUUUGUCCUAUUUAUCUUCCUUGCAAAUAAUUUCUAUGUUUCAGUGAAAGCUUAAAAGAAACCCUAGAUAUCUGUAACAACCCUGAUCUCUCAGGAAAUAUUUCCACAGAAAUUCAGCUGGAGCUAUCCUGGCGUUCCUCCUUCACCACUGAGUUCUAAUGCUGAACCUGCUGCUGGCAUCAUUAAACUGGAUGUGCAGCUCUCCUGAAGAGCUCAGAGCACAGUGAAGUCUAUAAAAGAGGAAGAAACCUGCACAGUCGACAGCAGCAGACACCAGGCUGGUGACAUUGUCCAUCUUUCCACUUCCAGGAUGACCGAGUUACUGGAACACCUGAAGGCCACCUUCACAGUAGACAUUCUGCAAUACUCCAAUAGAAACAGCGAUUCUGAUGAAAUGACACCAAAGAUCUGGGGAUGUAAGCAAGCUGUUCUUAGUACAUGUUUGAAAAUUCAGGAAAAGCUUGAAAGGUGAAAGGAAGAGUGUAACUGGCAUUAAGAAACUGCCCCUGGAACUGUAAUUCUGAGUGGCACUGUGCUAGAAGAGCUGUGUUGUGACACAGGGCUAGAUUAUGGAACUCCCUGCCACAUUGAAGUCAGAGUCCUGAAAGACUUUCAGACCACCUGAAAGAAUCUGAAUGUGUUGCUGGACACCAGAAAAUGCUGAGUCUUUGGAAGGAAGAGACUUUAGGGUAGUGCUCCAGUCACAAACUUUAACAGGGGAGUAUUUUAGGAAAUGGGGUUCGGCUAUGUUGCACUAUGAAGAAAGAGCAGGGCAGCCUGACUGAUAGAGUAACCUGGCACUGCUGAGAUGAUGGCUGUGAGGCUAACAAACACUGAUUUAGCACUCCCAGGCUUCUAAGGAAUCAGAGAUUUGUUUCCUACUUGGUAAAAUUUCCCUUGUGCUGACAAAACUCCUUGUCAUGCAAAGAUCAAAUGAUUUCUAUAUUUCAAGCGAAGAGAAGCCACCAAAGAGAAGGACCAAAAUGUCAUCAUUACUAUUCCUCAUCUUAAGCACCUGAAAUGCUGUUUCUAUCAUGGCCCAUAUGCCAAUGCUCUUAAAUAGUUGCUCAGUUGUCCUGUGAACAAAUGGAGGCCUUCACACUUUGUUCUCUAAGUGCUUUCUCCUCCCUGAUUCCCAGUAGGUUAAGAUGUGUAUGAAUAAAAUACACAAAUGUGUAACAUAAAAAUGCUUUGGAGAAGGCCGUGUUUAGCAAAGCAAAUGGCCUGACUUGGCAGUUGGUUAUUUGUACUGCAGGAGGCCUCUGGAGCCCCACUGGGAGAGGUAUUUUCACAGGUCUAUAAAAGAAAAUACUUUGCUUUGGGGAACACCUUCUGCCCCCCUUGUGUCACAGCCUAGAGUGAAGUUGGACUGUGAACUGCCCCUUUUAUCUGGAGUCACUGAGCUCAGCUAAGUGGCCUGAUCUAAUUUUCUUUGGUGUCCCAAAACCUUCCUGUGGUUAUUUUCUGAUUUGAUUUCUCCAAAAACUACAUUGACACAAACAAGAUUAAUUCCUAGCUUCAGCUGGUGGAGCUGAGAAUUGCAUUUACUGCCUUUAGGAGCGCUAUGAUAGCCUCACUUCAUGUGGGUGAUGCGGUUUACCAUGUUUGAACAGGUAAAUGCCAUUCACUGUGUGAGGAAAGCAGAGCCUAGCUUAAAGUAAAUAAAGCUUCACCUUCCAGCUAAAGGAAAUAUGGGAAUGUUUUUCAAGAUUUUUAAAGAAAAAACUUGAUCCUGUAGCAGGAAGCUGGAGUUCAAAAUAGAACAUCAGUAGGAAUAUCACAGGA